This 685-nucleotide ribosomal RNA is filed under the name Scheffersomyces shehatae. Its description in RNAcentral is "LSU rRNA". The stretch from base 82 to 685 matches the Rfam family "Eukaryotic large subunit ribosomal RNA", at positions 1 to 612 of the family's 3401-position model. The record is from RNAcentral. Lineage: Eukaryota; Fungi; Ascomycota; Pichiomycetes; Serinales; Debaryomycetaceae.
UAGGUUUAUCCAACUCGUUGAGAAUUCUUGGUAGUGAAUUUUUAGUAUCAUGGCUCUGCCUUACAAAACAACAAACAAGUUUGACCUCAAAUCAGGUAGGAUUACCCGCUGAACUUAAGCAUAUCAAUAAGCGGAGGAAAAGAAACCAACAGGGAUUGUCUUAGUAACGGCGAGUGAAGCGACAAAAGCUCAAAUUUGAAAUCUGGCACCUUCGGUGUCCGAGUUGUAAUUUGAAGAAGGUAACUUUGGAGUUGGCUCUUGUCUAUGUUCCUUGGAACAGGACGUCACAGAGGGUGAGAAUCCCGUGCGAUGAGAUGUCCAACUCUAUGUAAAGUGCUUUCGAAGAGUCGAGUUGUUUGGGAAUGCAGCUCUAAGUGGGUGGUAAAUUCCAUCUAAAGCUAAAUAUUGGCGAGAGACCGAUAGCGAACAAGUACAGUGAUGGAAAGAUGAAAAGAACUUUGAAAAGAGAGUGAAAAAGUACGUGAAAUUGUUGAAAGGGAAGGGUUUGAGAUCAGACUUGGUAUUUUGUAUGUCUUGCUUUCGGGUGGGGCCUCUGCAGUUUACUGGGCCAGCAUCGGUUUGGACGGUAGGAUAAUGACAUUGGAAUGUGGCACUACUUCGGUGGUGUGUUAUAGACUUUGUUGAUACUGCCUGUCUAGACCGAGGACUGCGUCUUGACUAGGAU